RNAcentral lists this ribosomal RNA (107 nucleotides) under Mus spicilegus (steppe mouse). The record is from RNAcentral. Lineage: Eukaryota; Metazoa; Chordata; Mammalia; Rodentia; Muridae.
UCUGGCCGUCCCAACACGGAUGCACCUGAUCUCAGAAGCUAAGCAGGGUAGGCCUGGCUAGUACUUAGGUGGGAGAAUAAUUUUGAUUAACUUUCUGUGGGCCACAA